RNAcentral lists this ribosomal RNA (696 nucleotides) under Triticum aestivum (bread wheat). Its description in RNAcentral is "partial small subunit ribosomal RNA". Lineage: Eukaryota; Viridiplantae; Streptophyta; Magnoliopsida; Poales; Poaceae. The record is from RNAcentral.
AUGUGGGAAGAAUGCUUGCCUCAUAUUGAGUUUGCUUAUAAUCGUUCAUUGCAUUCUACUACUAAGAUGUGCCCUUUUGAAAUUGUGUAUGGUUUCCUACCUCGUGCACCUAUUGAUUUGUUGCCUCUUCCAUCUUCGGAGAAGGUUAAUUUUGAUGCUAAACAACGUGCUGAAUUGAUCUUAAAAAUGCAUGAGUUAACUAAGGAAAACAUUGAACGUAUGAAUGCUAAAUAUAAACUUGCUGGAGAUAAGGGUAGAAAACAUGUUGUGUUUGCACCUGGAGAUCUUGUUUGGUUACAUUUGCGUAAGGAUAGAUUUCCUGAUUUGCGCAAAUCAAAGCUAAUGCCACGUGCUGAUGGUCCUUUUAAGGUGUUAGAGAAAAUAAAUGAUAAUGCAUAUAAACUUGAGCUGCCUGCAGAUUUUGGGGUUAGUCCCACUUUUAAUAUUGCAGAUUUGAAGCCUUAUUUGGGUGAGGAAGAUGAGCUUCCGUCGAGGACGACUUCAUUUCAAGAAGGGGAGGAUGAUGAGGACAUCAAUACCAUUGUUACACCCACAGGCCCUGCUGCUAUACAUACUGGACCAAUUACUAGAGCUCGCGCACGCCAAUUAAAUUACCAGGAAACAGACCCUCGUGGUCAGGUUGAUCGUGCUCCGGCGUGGUCGAUAACCUCUCGGAGUUGGUUUAGCGAUUGCUAA